AUACGGAGGAUGCAAGCGUUAUCCGGAUUUAUUGGGUUUAAAGGGUGCGUAGGCUGUUUGUCAAGUCAGGGGUGAAAUACCUGAGCCUAACUCAGGAACUGCCUUUGAUACUGGCAGGCUGGAAUACGGAUGCCGUGGGAGGAAUGAGUAGUGUAGCGGUGAAAUGCAUAGAUAUUACUCAGAACACCGAUUGCGAAGGCAUCUCACGAAUCCGUCAUUGACGCUGAGGCACGAAAGCGUGGGGAUCAAACAGGAUUAGAUACCCUGGUAGUCCACGCAGUAAACGAUGAUAACUAACCGUCGGCGAUAGAGUGUCGGUGGCCAAGCGAAAGCGAUAAGUUAUCCACCUGGGGAGUACGUUCGCAAGAAUGAAACUCAAAUGAAUUGGCGGGG
Molecule: ribosomal RNA, 393 nt
Filed under: uncultured bacterium
Lineage: Bacteria
Description: partial 16S ribosomal RNA
Rfam family: Bacterial small subunit ribosomal RNA
Source: RNAcentral